GGGGUUGUGGCUCAGCGGUAGAGCGCUUGCCUAGCACAUGCAAGGCCCUGGGUUCGAUUCUCAGCACCA
This 69-nucleotide transfer RNA is filed under the name Ictidomys tridecemlineatus (thirteen-lined ground squirrel). RNAcentral describes it as "Spermophilus tridecemlineatus (thirteen-lined ground squirrel) tRNA". It matches the Rfam family "tRNA". From Rfam's summary of the family: Transfer RNA (tRNA) molecules are approximately 80 nucleotides in length. Their secondary structure includes four short double-helical elements and three loops (D, anti-codon, and T loops). Lineage: Eukaryota; Metazoa; Chordata; Mammalia; Rodentia; Sciuridae. The record is from Rfam by way of RNAcentral.